UACGAAGGGGGCUAGCGUUGUUCGGAAUUACUGGGCGUAAAGGGCGCGCAGGCGGCCCUCCAAGUCAGGCGUGAAAGCCCCGGGCUCAACCCGGGAAUAGCGCUUGAGACUGGGGGGCUUGAGUUCGGGAGAGGAGAGUGGAAUUCCCAGUGUAGAGGUGAAAUUCGUAGAUAUUGGGGAAGAACACCGGUGGCGAAGGCGGCUCUCUGGACCGACACUGACGCUGAGGCGCGGAAAGCGUGGGGAGCAAACAGG
Molecule: ribosomal RNA, 255 nt
Filed under: uncultured bacterium
Lineage: Bacteria
Description: partial 16S ribosomal RNA
Rfam family: Bacterial small subunit ribosomal RNA
Source: RNAcentral